Molecule: ribosomal RNA, 497 nt
Filed under: uncultured bacterium
Lineage: Bacteria
Description: partial 16S ribosomal RNA
Rfam family: Bacterial small subunit ribosomal RNA
Source: RNAcentral
GAUGAACGCUGGCGGCGUGCCUAAUACAUGCAAGUCGAGCGAACGGACGAGAAGCUUGCUUUUCUGAUGUUAGCGGCGGACGGGUGAGUAACACGUGGAUAACCUACCUAUAAGACUGGGAUAACUUCGGGAAACCGGAGCUAGUACCGGAUAAUAUUUUGAACCGCAUGGUUCAAAAGUGAAAGACGGUCUUGCUGUCACUUAUAGAUGGAUCCGCGCUGCAUUAGCUAGUUGGUAAGGUAACGGCUUACCAAGGCAACGAUGCAUAGCCGACCUGAGAGGGUGAUCGGCCACACUGGAACUGAGACACGGUCCAGACUCCUACGGGAGGCAGCAGUAGGGAAUCUUCCGCAAUGGGCGAAAGCCUGACGGAGCAACGCCGCGUGAGUGAUGAAGGUCUUCGGAUCGUAAAGCUCUGUUAUUAGGGAAGAACAUAUGUGUAAGUAACUGUGCACAUCUUGACGGUACCUAAUCAGAAAGCCACGGCUAACUACGUG